This 73-nucleotide transfer RNA is filed under the name Bos taurus (domestic cattle). It matches the Rfam family "tRNA". Rfam says of the family: Transfer RNA (tRNA) molecules are approximately 80 nucleotides in length. Their secondary structure includes four short double-helical elements and three loops (D, anti-codon, and T loops). The record is from Rfam by way of RNAcentral. Lineage: Eukaryota; Metazoa; Chordata; Mammalia; Artiodactyla; Bovidae. RNAcentral also lists the same sequence under 5 other names.
UCCUUGGUGGUCUAGUGGUUAAGACUCCUCACUUUCACUACAUGGGGCACAGGUUCGAUCCCUGGUCAGGGAA